CAGGUGUUUUGCAGAAUUGUCGAGGAUGAGAAAGGGAUCCGAGCCUCGAUAUCAGACAGAGGCUCUCCUCGGGGCCCUCAUUGAAUCAGCUGCCGAAAUCAAUCCGGAAUUCACCAUCGACAAUCAAAAUGAUGCCCAUGAAUUCUUCUGCCACUGUCUGACCCAAAUGGAGGAGUCUGGGCAAUUGCAGGGUUGGCAAGAGGAUGCAUACCCUAGAUGUCCCGUCAAGAACAAUUUCAUGUUCCAGAUGAGGAAUAUUAUAACAUGCUCCAGGUACAACACAUAACAAGUUUGGAGGUUGUACAUGAUGCAGAUGAUGGGCAGAUGUUGAUGUAUUUCAUUUGUUGCAGCUGUGGAUCCCAGCAGCAAAACAAAGUGGACGUGUUUAAUCACAUCUCUCUGCCUCUGGUGUACAACUCGGUGGAGCAGUGCCUCUAUGACGCAGUUAAUAAAGCAACAGAGAUAGAGAGCAAAUGCACAACGUGUGGAGGAAAAUUUGCCAGCUCCAGGUGGACGUUCCACACUCUGCC
Molecule: long non-coding RNA, 530 nt
Organism: Hemibagrus wyckioides
Lineage: Eukaryota; Metazoa; Chordata; Actinopteri; Siluriformes; Bagridae
Exons: 3
Source: RefSeq, a predicted model, not a curated record